Molecule: ribosomal RNA, 451 nt
Filed under: uncultured bacterium
Lineage: Bacteria
Description: bacterial SSU rRNA
Rfam family: Bacterial small subunit ribosomal RNA
Source: RNAcentral
CAGCAGUGGGGAAUAUUGCACAAUGGGCGCAAGCCUGAUGCAGCCAUGCCGCGUGUAUGAAGAAGGCCUUCGGGUUGUAAAGUAUUUCAGCAGUGAGGAAGGUGGGUAUGUUAAUAGCAUAUCAUUUUGACGUUAGCUGCAGAAGAAGCACCGGCUAACUCCGUGCCAGCAGCCGCGGUAAUACGGAGGGUGCGAGCGUUAAUCGGAAUUACUGGGCGUAAAGCGCAUGCAGGUGGUUUGUUAAGUCAGAUGUGAAAGCCCGGGGCUCAACCUCGGAAUUGCAUUUGAAACUGGCAAACUAGAGUACUGUAGAGGGGGUAGAAUUUCAGGUGUAGCGGUGAAAUGCGUAGAGAUCUGAAGGAAUACCGGUGGCGAAGGCGGCCCCCUCGGACAGAUACUGACACUCAGAUGCGAAAGCGUGGGGAGCAAACAGGAUUAGAUACCCUGGUAG